This 5282-nucleotide long non-coding RNA is filed under the name Malus domestica (apple). RNAcentral describes it as "long non-coding RNA (MDOM_LNC017028)". Lineage: Eukaryota; Viridiplantae; Streptophyta; Magnoliopsida; Rosales; Rosaceae. The record is from RNAcentral.
UGUUUUUGGUAUUAUUUUUUUUCUAGGACACAUCAUGCAUGUUUCUUGUGUUUUUGCUAAUCAAAAUACCAAAGAGGUCGGCAUAGGAUUCAAAGAGAAAAUCAGUGUGUGCUAGAUUCGUACUAGAAGUAGGAAAGCAGUUUUUCUUCUGUAUAAUCCUAAGUGAUUUCAAUAGGUUUCUAGCCCACAACCUAUUCUCUGUAAAUAGUCUUGAUAAGAGUUCUUAAACUGUAGCAAGCACACAAGGGGUAGAGAACUAAAGAGAGUGAUAGAGAGAUCAAAAGCUAGGGUUUGGGGAUUAGCAUAGGGAUUUCAGAAAGUUCUUGUAAUCAAUUGUUCUUCUUGAUAGUGCUAGUUGGAAGUGUGGGCACACGAGAAAGGAUAAGAUUAGGAAUGAGGAUAUCCGAGGUAAAGUAGGAGUAGCCGAAAUUGAAGGAAAGAUGAGAGAAAAUCGGUUACGGUGGUUUGGACAUGUGCAAAGAAGGCCUACUGACGCUCCGAUUAGAAGAUGCGACUAUGGGACAGAGGUUCAGGGCCGAAGGGGUAGAGGAAGACCUAGGAAAACUUUGGAAGAGACUCUAAGAAAAGACUUAGAGUACUUGGAUCUAACGAAGGACAUGACACAGGACCGAGCACAAUGGCGUUCUAAGAUUCAUAUAGCCGAUCCCACUCAGUGACUUGGAUUUUCCAAGUCUCCAACCGAGAAGUUUUUCCUCACUCGAAAAAAUUAAGGGAACACUACCCCAACCUACAUGCUCCACUCAGAAAGCUUCAACAUACAAGCUUCAACAAAAGAAAAUUCAAAGAACUUAGCGAAGAAGGCUUUGGUGUAUUUAACACAAUACGUUGAAAUGAAGGAAAACUUAUUUAUUGAUAUCCCCGAUAAGCUACAAAUAUGUACAUAUACAUGAGUCAAAAUAAACAAACAAGAUGGAGUCUUUACAAAGGUUGCUUAGGAGAAGUCUCAGCAGUCGGUAGAGCCCCAGAAAGAGAAGGCAUCGGAGGGGGAUCAUUCGGAGCCUCAGUACUGGACAGAACCCUAGAAGGAGGAGGCAUCAGAGGUUGAUCAUUUGGAGCUUCAUUACGCGGUACAGCCCCAGAAGACGAAGGCAAUAAAUGCCUUUGGAACAAACCCACAAAUCUCUGAUGAUCAAGUAAAAAACCUGACCAUCAGUUUCCUUCAUCUGGUCAAGCUUCCUCUUCAUGUUUGUAGCAUAGUCAUGUGCGAGCCGGUGCAACUGUUUAUUCUCAUGCUUGAGCCCUCUAAUCUCCUGUUUGAGACUCAUCACUUCGGCCGCCAAUGAUUCAACUUGGCGGGUUCGAGCAAAUAGGCGUUGGGCCAUAUUAGACACAGAACCUGCACACUGAACACUGAGAGCCAGUGAAUCCUUAACAGCUAACUCAUCAGACCGUUUGGAAAGUAGUCUGUUAUCUUUGGGAGUGAGAAGGUUCCUGGCCACCACCGCAGCGGUCAUAUCAUUCUUCAUCACGAAAUCCCCAACGGUAAGAGGACCAGUAGGGGAGACGAAGGAUGGGCGCCAUAUGUUGUCUGGAGAAGGCGGGGCUGCCUCUUCAACAAGGUUCAAGUCAAAACGACGGUCGGAGGGGCCAGACAUUUUCAAAGGUAUUGAAGAGAGAAGAGGUCGGACAAAUCAAGAUCUUAGAAGUGCAAGAAUGGAGCUUCUACUGGUGGAGAUUCAAGUGUGCUUUGGAACUUAAUGCCAGCCCUAUAAAAAGCUGCACUCGACGGAGCUUCAGACAUCGAAGAGGCGCCUGCUCAGAAAUCGAAGAGGCGUUUGCUUUCUCAAAAGUCGGGCUGCUUAGAGACCACGAGGGUUGAUCUCAUAAAUCGAAGAGGUGUUUGCUUUCUCAAAAGUUGGGCUGCUCAAAGACCACGAAAGCCGAUCUCAGAAAUCGAAGAGAGGCGCUCGCUUCCUCAAAAGCUGGGCUCCUCAGAGACCACGAGGGCCGAUCUCAGAAAUCGAAGAGGCACCUACUUUUCCAGCCUUGUCAGCACCUGUCACACGCACACUCAGCUUUGCGGAAAUUAUGGGUAUUCUGUCGAAGACUUCUGGGGAAGUAGAAAACACAUGAAUCUUACUGUCCAAUCACCCACUUCCCACACGCAGCAAUAGCUCAUGGGUACCACAGAUAACUUUGCCAAAGUUCUCUGCCAAAGUUGAGCACGUGAAGCUUGCAGCUCCCACUACAUCGCUCUGACCAAGAAGGGUAAAAGAAUAGCAAAGAAAAGCACUAACAAAGUUUAGACCCAUAAAUUUUGAAGGUCUAGCUACCAUAUUAUUACCCACAAGGGUAAAGGAACAGUACCACUGUUGGAUAAUUGGAAAGUCCCUGUGUGUCAACCUCUGUGCCUCGUGGCAAGGUAGACUAGCAAACAUGCCCAACCUUUACUCACAUUCGAGAAAACACUCCCAAUAAGAUUGCUUGCUCCAAAAUCGAAGAGGCACCGUUCUCCGAAUCUCGAGAGCCAGACUCCCAACAUGACUACUUUCUCAAAAAUCGAAGAGAGGGUAAAGGAACAGUACCAUUGCUGGAUAAUUGGAAAGUCCCUGUGUGUCAACCUCUGUGCUUCGUGGCAAGGUAGACUAGCAAACAUGCCCAACCUUUACUCACAUUCGAGAAAACACUCCCAACAAGAUUGCUUGCUCCAAAAUCGAAGAGGCACCGCCCUCCGAAUCUCGAGAGCCAUACUCCCAACAUGAUUACUUUCUAAAAAAUCGAAGAGACACUGCUCCCCGAAUCUCGAGAGCCAGACCCCCAGCAUGAUUGCUUUCUCAAAAAUCGAAGAGGCAUCGUUCUCCGAAUCAAUCGAAGAGGCGCUCGCUUUCUCAAAAGCUGGGCUGCUCAGAGACCACGAGGGCCGAUCUCAGAAAUCGAAGAGGCACCUUCUUUUCUAGCCUUGUCAGCACCUGUCACACGCACACUCAGCUUUGCGGAAAUUAUGGGCAUUCUGUCGAAGACUUCUGGUGAAGUAGAAAGCACAUGAAUCUUACUGUUCAAUCACCCACUUCCCACACGCAACAAUAGCUCAUGGGUACCACAGAUAACUUUGUCAAAGUCUCUGCCAAAGUUGAGCACGUGAAGCUUGCAGCUCCCACUACAUCGCUCUGACCAAGAAAGGUAAAAGAAUAGCAAAGAAACAGCACUAACAAAGUUUAGACACAUAAAUUUUGAAGGUCUAGCUACCAUAUUAUUACCCACAAGGGUAAAGGAACAGUACCACUGCUGGAUAAUUGGAAAGUCCCUGUGUGUCAACCUCCGUGCUUCGUGGCAAGGUAGACUAGCAAACAUGCCCAACCUUUACUCACAUCCGAGAAAACACUCCCAACAAGAUUGCUUACUCCAAAAUCGAAGAGGCACCGCCUUCCGAAUCUCGAGAGCCAGACUCCCAACAUGAUUACUUUCUCAAAAAUCGAAGAGACACUGCUCCCCGAAUCUCGAGAGCCAGACCCCCACCAUGAUUGCUUUCUCAAAAAUCGAAGAAGCAUCGUUCUCCGAAUCUCGAGAGCCAGAUACCACAUACCACUUUUUCAAAGUGCUCUGACAGAGUUAAAACAUGUGAAGCUGGCAGCUCCCACUACCGUGCUAUGACCAAGCAGGGUAAAGGAAUAGCAUUACUACUUGUUGUUAGGGAGACUCCUAUAUAUGUCGACCUCCAUCCCCAACGGACAGGCAGACCUGCAAAAAUGCUCAACCCUUCCUCAUAUCUGAGAGGGCACUCCCAACGAAGCCUUUCGAAAUAUUCAGAUUUCUUUCCCCCCGAUAAUACCUCUGCAAACAAGCUAUACUAGAGCAAGAAUAUCUCAUAUCAUCAGGGUUAAAAGCAAGAGUAUCCCAUAUCAUGCUUUUUCCCUGUCUUUUCCUUUGGCCUUGUUUUUACCUGCAAGACAAGGAGAAAGAGAGCAAUCAGUCAGCACUUGAAAUCAAGCUCCCAGUCAGGAACUGACAGCCUGGAACCCCUUACCUGAUUACUUACCUGGCAUUGCUCUCGAGUACUCAUCUUCAACAUCUUAUGUUGCCAGGGAAGAUACCGCAUCUGCUUGAGGAACAGAUAGGGCAAGUGCGAAGGAUACAAGGAAGCAUGUGGAGACAAGCGUAACAGCACACGUGCCGAUCCAUCCAUUACUUUGUCAAAAGCAAAAGUAUCCCAUAUCAGCAGGGUCGAACGUACUCUAGAUUUGAUGGACUUGUUUUGACCCUCAAAUUCUUCAGUCGGCCUUAUACUCUGGAGGAAACCAGAAAACCCUCCAGCUCAGUUCAAGAAUAAGCCUGUGGAAAGUUACUUCUUCAAAAGCAAAAGUAUCCCAUAUCAUCUCUUCUCAUUUUUCUUCUCUUUAUCCUUCAUGCUGCUGCAAGAUGGGGAGAAGGUGAACAAUCAGCCGGAGCUCUGAUUGCUUACCUUGUCUGUCACCUCUUUCAGCAAAUCCCCUAGCUCGGCGACUUGGGGGACUCCUACUACAUGGUUUGUAUCGCGCUUGACCAAGCCUGAAACUACAAGUAAGCUUCAAGUGAAAAUUGAUACAUUACCUUGUGCAUCUCCACCAGUUAAAGAUACCACCCCUGGAUGGAGGAAGAGUACUUCCAGAGAAGCUGCCACAUCUACCUAUGAGACAGAUAAGGCAAGUCAAGAUGAUACCACACUCCGAUACUUAGAAGUUUCGUGAUUACGAGAUCAUUCUCCCACAAUAUUUCCUAAUGUCAUUUGUACUCUAAUGUCAUUUGUACUAAAUCAUUCACUUGUACUCACUAAAGGAGAGCUUGAACCUAUGUACUUGUGUAAACCCUUCACAAUUAAUGAGAACUCUUCUAUUCCGUGGACAUAGCCAAUCUGGGUGAACCACGUACAUCUUGUGUUUGCUUUCCUAUCUCUAUCCAUUUAUAUACUUAUCCACACUAAUGACCGGAGCAAUUUAGCGAAGAUCACAAAAAGCGACCGUUUUCGCUACCUAGGAUCUAUCUUACAAGAGAACGGAGAAUUAGAUGGAGAUCUCAACCAUAGAAUACGAGCUGGAUGGAUGAAGUGUAAGAGUGCAUCCAGCAUGUUGUGUAACCGUCGUAGGCCACUGAAGCUCAAGGGAAAAUUUUAUAAGACGACAAUAAGGCCAGCGAUGUUGUAUGGCACAGAAUGUUGGGCGGUGAAACAUCAACACGUACACAAAAUGGGUGUAGCAGAGAUGAGGAUGCUUCGUGGGAUGUGUGGGCACACGAGAAAGGAUAAGAUUGAGAAUGAGGAUAUCCGAGGUAAAGUAGGAGUAGCCGAA